Molecule: ribosomal RNA, 385 nt
Filed under: Trichoderma sp. H5
Lineage: Eukaryota; Fungi; Ascomycota; Sordariomycetes; Hypocreales; Hypocreaceae
Description: bacterial SSU rRNA
Rfam family: Eukaryotic small subunit ribosomal RNA
Source: RNAcentral
GUAGUCAUAUGCUUGUCUCAAAGAUUAAGCCAUGCAUGUUAAGAUAAGCAUUAUACCGCGAAACUGCAAUGGCUCAUUAUAUAAGUUAUCGUUUAUUUGAUAAUACUUUACUACUUGGAUAACCGUGGUAAUUCUAGAGCUAAUACAUGCUGAAAAUCCCGACUUCGGAAGGGAUGUAUUUAUUAGAUUAAAAACCAAUGCCCCUCGGGGCUCUCUGGUGAAUCAUGAUAACUAGUCGAAUCGACAGGCCUUGUGCCGGCGAUGGCUCAUUCAAAUUUCUUCCCUAUCAACUUUCGAUGUUUGGGUAUUGGCCAAACAUGGUGGCAACGGGUAACGGGGAAUGGGGCGGGGGCGGCGGGCCGGGCGCGGGGCGCGGCGGGCGACC